RNAcentral lists this ribosomal RNA (228 nucleotides) under uncultured bacterium. Its description in RNAcentral is "partial 16S ribosomal RNA". It matches the Rfam family "Bacterial small subunit ribosomal RNA", at positions 118 to 346 of the family's 1533-position model. The record is from RNAcentral.
UGGGUGACCUGCCCUCAGCUCUGGGAUAAGCCUGGGAAACUGGGUCUAAUACUGGAUAUUCACUUCUCAUCGCAUGGUGGGUGGUGGAAAGUUUUUCGGCUGGGGAUGGGCCCGCGGCCUAUCAGCUUGUUGGUGGGGUGAUGGCCUACCAAGGCGACGACGGGUAGCCGGCCUGAGAGGGCGUCCGGCCACACUGGGACUGAGACACGGCCCAGACUCCGUACGGGA